CCAAAAUAGAUUUUAGUGCAAAAUGUACUUCAAAAAUGUUAAGAGAGAUAUUUCAAAUGAUCCAACCAACAAUUUUCAAGUAUUUUUUAAACUACCAAACAUAUAUUAUUAUAAGAUUUUUUUUUUUUGUAUUAUUGAUUUAAAAAAAAGUUUAUGGAAUUUGUUUUAUUUUUUUAGAUUGCAUCACUUUCCUACAAAAUCAUUUAGAUGGUCUCAUCUCCUUAUUAUAAAUAUUUUCCUUUAUAAAAA
This 249-nucleotide long non-coding RNA is filed under the name Capsella rubella. RNAcentral describes it as "long non-coding RNA (CRUB_LNC003001)". The record is from RNAcentral. Lineage: Eukaryota; Viridiplantae; Streptophyta; Magnoliopsida; Brassicales; Brassicaceae.